This 136-nucleotide small RNA is filed under the name Otolemur garnettii (small-eared galago). Its description in RNAcentral is "Y RNA (ENSOGAG00000022545.1)". The record is from RNAcentral. Lineage: Eukaryota; Metazoa; Chordata; Mammalia; Primates; Galagidae.
GGCGGGUUCAAACCCAGCCCGGCCAAAAAUAAAAUAAAAUAAAAUUAAAACAUGGUGUACAGCUAGCUGAUCACAACUUGUUAACAGAUUUGUUUGUUCUUUCUCUGCUCCUGCUGUUUCACUUGACUAGCCUAAA